Molecule: long non-coding RNA, 1714 nt
Organism: Chlorocebus sabaeus (green monkey)
Lineage: Eukaryota; Metazoa; Chordata; Mammalia; Primates; Cercopithecidae
Source: RefSeq, a predicted model, not a curated record
UUGAACUCCUGACCUCUGGGGAUUCACCUGCCUCAGCCUCCCAAAGUGCUGGGAUUAUCGGUGAGAGCCACCGCACCUAGCUUUAACUUCAGCCUCUAAAUUGACUAACAGCUUAAUGCAAUGAGAUGGGGUGGAGAUUGGGGGCUAUGGGCAACUGGACUUUGGCCAUAUUGGAGAACAUGGCUGUCAAAGAGAUAUGCAUAUCUCACCCUUCCUGUAUGCUAUGGUCUGAAUUAUGUGUUCCUCCCAAAUUCACAUGUUGAAACCUAAUUACCAAGGUGAUAGUAUAAAAGAUGGGGCCUUUAGGAGGUGAUUAAUCAUGAGAGGUAUGCCCUCAUGAAUGGGAUUAGUACCCUUUUAAAGGGCUUGAGGGAGGGAAUUUGGCCUCUUUUUUGCCCUCUUGCCCUUCUGCCUACUGCCUUUGAAGACACAACGAUAGGCACCAUCUUGGAAGCAGAGAGCAGCCCUCACUGGACACUGAAUCUGCUGAUGCCUCAAUGUUGGACUUGCCAGCCUCCAGAACUCAGCUCUGCCCCACUAAGCUCUCUACACGGCCGAGACACCAGACCAGAAUGCGCCCUUUCAACAGGCAGAGAGAGCCAAAGGGGAAAAGAGCUGAGUCAAGGCCGCCAAGUUCCUGCUUCCAGCCCUACCAGCCGGUCACUCACGCCUAGCAAUGAGGAAGCCGGGAGUCCUGUCUAGAGCCUUUCCCAUAGUUGUGGGAAAGAAGAUGGAUAAAGUUAUUGUUAAUCUACGAUGAAGGAAUGAUGCCAAGUUUUUCAAGGCUUCCAGAGUCACGGGAGGAGUCACUUGGCAGAUCCAGUAGCAGAAGCCAGGUUAAGUGACCAGCCUAAGGCAAGAGCCAGAUUUGGAGCUUGGAAUAUGAUAGUCCUUAGGGUGCUUUAUUCCCUGAGACAAUCCACACUUCUACCUCAGUAAAGGAAUCAAUUGAGGGCUCAGCUUUUCCUCUGCAAGAAACCUGCUCUCUGGGACAAUGAUAAUGUAAGCACAAAGAACAAAACUAUUUAAAGAUCAUACACAUACCCUCUCAAACACAUCAUCUGCCUGUGGGAAAGCAACGUGUUCACUGUGAUAAUUCAGCACCAGGACCUGAGGUGGUGGGAACAGCUUUGCCUGGUUUGCUGCUCUCCAAGGAGCUCCUGUGCCGGCCUCAUUGGACAAGCAUCCCUGCCCUGCGGCGCAGAGUCUCCAGGACCAGCAGAUGGCGCACUUGCACAGUCCACACAUUUUCCAGGUUCUCAAGGUAAAUGGUACUGAUUAACAUCCAGAAAUAACACCCACUGAUGUUUGAACAAAUUGCAGCGUUUUCCAGGCCACUAAAACCAUGGCACUUUGUGAGCUGGAACAUUUGCUAAUAUUUAAAAUGGUUAGAAAGAUUGUUAAUCUAUAAUACUUUCGAGUGUUAACAGCCUCUUUCACCCACGCAUCAAAAAGCCCUUAAUAAAUUGGCCUUCUUUUUUCAGGUAGGGAAAUUAGGGCAGAGGGUCAAUUGGCUAAGAUCACAGCAGAACUAGUCCAAAUAAUUCAGACCGUACGCCUUGGUGAUCUUUUAGAAUUGUCUUUCCUCUUGCCCUUCCUUUCUUUAAUGCCCACUUCUCUUGGUUGUGGAGAGGAAUGUGCGUGUUGACUGGGGAUGUGGAAAAGGAAUUGACAUCUUCUGCACUUUGGGGCAUUGCCACCUGCCAUGGUCAUC